GACGAACGCUGGCGGCGUGCUUAACACAUGCAAGUCGAACGGUGAACCUCUUCGGGGGGGAUCAGUGGCGAACGGGUGAGUAACACGUGGGCAAGUUGCCCCCGGCCCUGGGAUAACUCCAAGAAAUUGGGGCUAAUACCGGAUGUCCACCGCUUCUCGCAUGGGUGGUGGUGGAAAGGGUUUCCGGCUGGUGAUGGGCGCGCGGCUUAUCAGCUUGUUGGCGUGGUAGAGGCCUACCAAGGCGAAGACGGGUAGCCGACCUGGGAGGGUCGCCGGCAACCCGACGCCUGAGAGACGGAGCAGACUCGAACCGGCGGCAACGGGCGAGAGUCUUGCGCAGUAGGCGGGAGCCUGACACGACGACGCCCGGUGCGGGAUGACGGGCUUCGAGUUGUAAACCACUUUCUGCGGAAACGAGGCGCUAGUGACGGUACCUGCAGAAGAAGCCCCGGCCAACUACGUG
This 463-nucleotide ribosomal RNA is filed under the name uncultured bacterium. RNAcentral's name for it is "partial 16S ribosomal RNA". It matches the Rfam family "Bacterial small subunit ribosomal RNA", at positions 28 to 507 of the family's 1533-position model. The record is from RNAcentral.